This 3457-nucleotide long non-coding RNA is filed under the name Mytilus galloprovincialis (Mediterranean mussel). The record is from RNAcentral. Lineage: Eukaryota; Metazoa; Mollusca; Bivalvia; Mytilida; Mytilidae.
AUUUCACACUAUACACUUUGUGGGUAAUUUUAUGCAAUUAAUCAUUUUGACCUACAUGUAUGCAAAUAAGAUGACUUUUUGUACAAAGGAAAUUGUUGUGAUUUAUUAAAGUCAAUAAUGUGUUUAUUUUUAAGGAGUACAAAGAAAAAAAUGCAAGAGAGCAAAGACAAAGAACAAAAAAUAAUGCUGGUAUGAUAUAAAUUUAAUUAUUUUGGUGAUAUAGAACAAAUAACAUCUAUAAAAGUGCCAGAGCCCACUUUGUAGUUCACUAUACAUUCUUGAUUGAGCAUAUUCUUUCUAAAUUUAAAAUAAGACCAAAUGAGGACUUUUGCAUUUUCAAUAAUUUAAUUUAUAUCUAAAAUAUUUGUUUGAAUUAACAUGCACGCUGAAAGUUUUGGGCUAAAAGACAAAAUAAAAAAAAAAAAAAUGAAUGAGUUUUGUGUUGAUAUUUUUGCCAACACAUAUUUUGAAAAAAAUCAGUCAUUAAUAUUACAUAAGAUAAAAAGGGUGUAUUCCAGGGCUUCCAAAAAAAAAUUUGAGCCUGACCUGGACAAAAUAUCUCUGAUGGAGAUUUUAAUUGCUUAAGACUAAAUCACAAAAGGCAAUUAUGGUAAUCAGAUGGCCAUCCCAAUGAUUGAUAUUAGAUUUUUGAAAAAAAACAAUAUAAAACUUUACUUUGAUAUGAAUUUGAUGUUCUGACGUAAACUGUUAAACUGGCAGUGCAUCAUUCAAAGUGUUCGCUUAAACUUGCUCAUAUCUGCCUUACCUAGAUUCUUUAUUUGUGCCAAAAGACCUUGUCAAAAAUUUUACUUUCGUUUUUUAAAAAUCACAUUUUCGUAAUACCAGAUGUUUACUUGACAAUGGUAAAACAUGGACCAGAAACGGAUAUGUAAAAUCUGUGUACGUUUACAAAGCAUGACGGAGCGAAGAAGCUCUUUCCACGUUAUUUCUUCAGCAAAAUACUUGAAAUGUACAUAAGGUACAGGUACUAAUGAUAAUUUUAGCAUUUUUUAAGAAAUGUAGGAUACAUAAUUAAAUUUCCCACCUGUGCACAUGCGCACACUUGUUCUAGUUCAUACAACGUAGUUCUGAUGAUUUUUCAUUUAAAACCUUUUGAAUUUUUCAUCAAAUUCAUGUUUAUAAACGUAUUUUUUAUAAUUUUAUUCUUUUAGACUAAAUCAUCUAGACCCAAACCGCUGAAAUGUAAGAAAAUAACUGAAUAGAUCUUAUCAAUUUAUACACUGUCCGGUACUAAAAAUAGUUUACCUGUCACCUGAACAGGUAGAUUUCAGCUGUCCAACAACUAAUUAGCCUUGAUUAGAAUUAGAAAGUAUUUAAGUAGGGGUUGUUUUGAUAGGAGUUAAUCAUCUGUCACUUUUAUGACUGGAAAUGUGUGGCUUUAAAAGCAAAAUGUUGGGUCAAAAAGAUCGCAGUUUAUGUUAAAAUGACCGUCUAGUAAGAAAGUCUUGAAAAACUAAAAAGUAGAUGACUGUUUCAUGUUUUACCCAGCCUGACUUUUACCGGACAUUAUACAAUUGUUCGGAAUAUAUGACCGUUUUGGAAGCCUUGGUGUAUUCUUCUUUUAGAUUUUCAGUUAUUGAUAGUUCUACUAUCAAAAGUUGUAUGCAAUAUUUUAUCAAACACUGAUUUAGCCCAUUCAUUGUAAAUUGACCAUAAUCAUACAAUGAACUUAUGCAAACAUUUCUAACUAACAUUUUAUCACUUUUUUUUUAGAUUAUAUAAAUAUAAAAAAAUGGAAAUGUGGUAUGAUUGCCAAUGAUUCAACUAUUCACCUAAAUUUAAAUGAAGUGGAUGUAAGCAUAUAUAGGCAACCAUAUGGCUGUAAAACUGUGCAAAAAGUUUUUUUUUUUUUCAAAAAAAAAAAUAUGAGAUGUGGCAUGAAUACACAGGAGGAAGUUAAUAUCAUUAUAGGACUUUCAAAUAUCAAGAAUAAUCACAUAUAUUUUUGUCGAGCCUUCGACUUUAGUCGAAAAAGCGAGACAUAGCGAUCCUACAUUCCGUCGGCGUCGGCGUCGUCGUCGGCGGCGUCCACAAAAUUCAUCUGCGGUUAAAGUUUUUGAAAAUUUUAAUAACUUUCUUGAACUAUACUGGUAUUUCUACAAACUUGGAAACAGAAGCUUGUUAUGUUCAUAGAUAGUUCCAGAAGUAAAUUUUGUAAAAAUAAAAUCCAUUUUUCCGUAUUUUACUUAUAAAUGGACUUAGUUUUUUCUGCCAGGAAACAUUACAUUCACUCUGUGGUUUAAGUUUUUAAAAUUUUAAUAACUUUCUUAAACUAUCCUGGAAUUGCACCAAACUAGGACAGAAGCUUGUUUAUGAUCAGAAGAUAGUAUCCAGAAGUAAAAUUUGUAAAAAGAAAAUUCCAAUAAUUCCGGUAUUUUACUUAUAAAUGGACUUAGUUUUUUCUGCCAGGAAACAUUACAUUCACUCUGUGGUUAAGGUUUUUAAAAUUUAAAUAACUUUCUUAAACUAUCUUUGAUUUGUACCAAAUUUAAACAGAAGCUUGUUUAUGUUCAUGAGAUAGUAUGCAGCUGUAAAUUUUGUAAAAAUGAAAUUCCAAUUUUUCUGUAUUUUACUUAUAAAUGGACUUAGUUUUUCUUCCAGUUAACAUUACAUACAGUCUGCAGUUAAAGUGUUUUUAAAACAUUUUAAAGAUUCUUAAACUAUCCUGGAUUUUUUACCAACUUGGACAGAAGCUUCUGACAAUCAAAAGACAGUAUCGAGAGGAAUAUUUUUUUCAUCAUUUUUGUUGAGUGUGUGAUAAACAGCAAAAGUAGGCAAGACACUGGGUUCCGCGGAACCCUUACAAUUUUUUAAUAAAAGUAUAAUAUACUAAAAUGUUUGAGAAUAAAAAAACUGAGGUAUUAUUUGUGUGCAGCUUACCAGAAAAGAAUACCGGUAUACAUAUCAUAUAAAUCAUUAGAGAGACAUACUUUUACUGCAUCUAUAUAGAAUAUAUAUAUCAAGUUUUGUAUCACAUUUAGUUAUCAAAGGUUUUUUGUCUUUAACUAUUCUAUAGGAUAUCUGUUUUACUCAUAUUUUAAGGCCAUAUUGUGUUUACUAAAGUUGCUUACAUUCUUUUGCCUCAUUCCCUGGUUCUUGGAAAUCAUUCCACAGCAAAUUUCUGUAUUUUUCUAAUUUACGACUUUCAACUGUAUAUUAUAAUGCAUUUCUUUUUUUAAUCCAUAUUGCUAAUGUGUUUAUUCCAUUUACCUUUAGUUACACAAAGAAAAAAUGGAAAAACAAAAGAAGGAUAAAGAGGAACAAAACAUAGACCAAGGAAGUAAACAAAAGGAGCACAAGAAUAAAAAAUCAUCCAAACAUAUUAAUAAGAAAUCAUCCAAACAUAGGGCAAAGGUAAAGUGAAAAUGGAAAACAUGUGACAAAACUUUUGUUUAUUUUCUAUUGUUAUAUUUGAUAAUAAAUGAAUUAAGCAAGC